This 253-nucleotide ribosomal RNA is filed under the name uncultured bacterium. Its description in RNAcentral is "partial 16S ribosomal RNA". It matches the Rfam family "Bacterial small subunit ribosomal RNA", at positions 524 to 776 of the family's 1533-position model. The record is from RNAcentral.
GACGUAGGGCGCGAGCGUUGUCCGGAUUUAUUGGGCGUAAAGAGCUCGUAGGCGGCUUGUCGCGUCGUCCGUGAAAACUUGGGGCUCAACUCCAAGCUUGCGGUCGAUACGGGCAGGCUAGAGUUCGGUAGGGGAGACUGGAAUUCCUGGUGUAGCGAUGAAAUGCGCAGAUAUCAGGAGGAACACCGGUGGCGAAGGCGGGUCUCUGGGCCGAUACUGACGCUGAGGAGCGAAAGCGUGGGGAGCGAACAGG